CCGAUAGCGAACAAGUACUGUGAAGGAAAGGUGAAAAGAACCCUGAACAAGGGAGUGAAAAAGACCCUGAAACCGUGUGUCUACAAGCGGUCGGAGCCUACGGGCGACGGCGUGCCUUUUGCAUAAUGAUCCUACGAGUUACUCCUCAUUGGCAAGGUUAAGAUUUUAAGGAUCGAAUCCGAAGCGAAAGCGAGUCUGAAUAGGGCGACAUAGUCAG
This 217-nucleotide ribosomal RNA is filed under the name Rhizochromulina marina. Its description in RNAcentral is "partial Bacterial large subunit ribosomal RNA". It matches the Rfam family "Bacterial large subunit ribosomal RNA", at positions 484 to 703 of the family's 2925-position model. Lineage: Eukaryota; Dictyochophyceae; Rhizochromulinales. The record is from RNAcentral.